CAGCUUUUCACCUGUCUUCUUCUGGAAGCUGGGCAUUUGUCUGCCCUUUGAGUAACUUUCGCUGCAGCCAUUUUCUGAGCAACUGUCCUUCUCAGGCCGGUGAGAGGGAAUCGGUGAUCAACAGAUACCGGAAUUGUCUUGACAGUUGGAACUGGAAAGAAACUACUGCAGAUAUUUUAAGGAAGCACACAGACAAGCAGUUGCUACAUGGAAGACAGAAGGAGAAGCAGUCAUAUAUAACGGGA
Molecule: long non-coding RNA, 245 nt
Filed under: Columba livia (rock pigeon)
Lineage: Eukaryota; Metazoa; Chordata; Aves; Columbiformes; Columbidae
Description: partial uncharacterized LOC102090166
Source: RNAcentral